GGGGACGUGCGUCUGGCACUUAGGAAAUGUGUCACGGCAGGAGACAGGCUUGGGAACCAGUCUCCUGGAGUGGAAGUUGGAGUGAGAAAAUGAGAAGGCCAAAGGCAAAGUGUGAGGGUAAAAGAUGCAAGAGCAGAAGAGGAUGAUCCAAGCAGGGGGAUGAAGCGGGAGGGAUGGAAAGAGAAUCGGGGAAAGCAGCGCCGAGGGAGGAGAGAACUUCCACCUGCUGGACAGCAGCGCCUGUGCCAUCGGCAACUGGCCACUUGCUUUAAAACGGAUGUGCAUCGAUGGAUUAGAACAUGAACUUAGGCAUUAAGACUAAAGAGAAAGGGGGUGUGUGGUUGUGGAGAACACAGUUAUUUAUUCUCAUUUUUCAAAGCUUUCUGCUCCGACAUUACAAAAGCAGAGAGAGAGAGAGAGAGAUGUCUUAGAGCUAUGGUCUGUGUGUGAGAAAAACAUAAGAAACUGUCAUCGUAAGCAUCAUUAUCAAUAAACAUUGAGGCCGCACAUAAUUGCAGAGCCGCUCCUUCUAUCUAGGAACUUCUAUUCUACUCCCAGAAAUAGAUCAGACACAUGAAGAAUGGCCAAAUGGAAACAAGUGUCGGAGGAGGGUAAGUGCCAGAGAAUGAUUUCAGCAAGAAGUUGCUCCAGGUUUCUGGGCUGGGGGCUGAUGGGAGGAGGCUUCCCAGAAAAAAAAAGAAUCCUGGGCUAUCGUUUGCAAAGGCAAAGGGAACACGCAGGCCGAGGCUCGAAGGAAGACGUGUACGUGGCAUUUUCAGGUCCUUGGCAUCGCACAGGGCCGGGAAAUGACAUCCACACUGGAGUUCCCAUCCAUGGCACCUUCGGGGACUGUUCAACCCAAUGGUUCAGUCCGUACCUAUGUCAAUACUAGACCUGGGCUGGGGAUGAGGCCAGAUAGGUGGGUGGGUGCCAUGAUGCGAAACACUUUUUGCAGGGCACCGUGAGGGCGUUUAUACUGAACGUGAGGCACACAGAGGGGGUUUCGAAUGGAGAUAUAAAAAGGAGAACUGCAUUAGAACGAUUCCUCCCGGGAGCAGGGCACAGGACGUCUUAGGAAAUCAAAACAAGAGAGAGGCGGAGAACCGGAAGAUUCUUGCAAAUGCCCAGAAUGCGGGUGGUGACGUGUUUGGGUCUAUGGCUGGAAUAUUAGGCUUGGGAAGUAAACGGGCAAUAGUUUAUAGGAUGUCUAAGGCCAACAACUCAAAACGGAGUCAGCAGGCAGGGAAAUUCAAAUUCAGCCAUUGUUUAUGGAGACAUAUGAUGGGUUUUGCUUUAGGAAUGCUGAUUUUGGCAAGUAGGCAGUCUAGUAAGAGACCUCUAGUUUGCAGUUAGAGAUACAAUACUGAAACCCGGUGUAGUGGCUUGGGCUGCAGGUGGAGGGCAGGCGGUGAAACGGUUACUUCAAACAAUGAAGAUUCAGAAAAAGAAAAGCGGAGUAGAGGCUGUCUUGUUGAAACUGAGUCCUGCUAAAACCGAGUGCCUCUGUGCAGUUUAUGGUUGACCUCUCUAUCCAAAAUGUUAUUCCUGGGAGUUCCCGUUGUAGUUCAGUGGUAAUGAACCUGACUAGUAUCCAUGAGGAUGCAGGUUUGAUCCCUGGCCUCGCUCAUUGGGUUAAUGGUCCGGUGUUGCCGUGAGCUGUGGCAUAGGUCACAGAUGAGGCUUGGCUCCUGCGUUGCUGUGGCUGUGGCUAUAGGCCAGCAGCUGUAGCUCUGAUUCGACCCCUAGCCUGGGAACCUCCAUGUGCCGCAGGUGCAGCCCUCAAAAGCAAAGAAAAAAACAAACCAAAACAAUGUGUUACUCCCUUUCUUGCCCAAAACAUGUUCCCCUCAAGAUUGAGGAGUAGCAAAGAAAACCUCUUGGAGUCCCCCAUCUCUUGCUCUUAGGAAAAAGGCUUCAGCCCCUUAGACCUUCCCUGAGUUCCAAAGAGCAGAUUCAAACAGUUACUGCCUAGGGCUGAGAGGGAACUCGGAAAGGAACAACAGGGCAGGGAUGGGGCCAGGUCCUCGGUCCCCCUCCCCGGAUGUGCCUAACAAUGUGAUACCUACCUCUGAGCUCUUCUCUAAGAACGAAGGCCCCCACCUAGGUGGUGGGAGGUAACUUUAGGCUGAGCUCAAGCAUGAGGACCCCAGAAUGGUUGGAACCAGAAGGCUGAUGGUUCCUAGAACACACCUUGGGACCUACCCACCUACUCAUCAGAAGGUUACACAGACCUCCCUCCUACUCAUCAAUGUUUUUUCUUUCUUCUUUUCUUUUUUCUUUUCAGGGCUGCACCUGAAGCAUACAUGGAAGUUCCCAGGCUAGGGGUUGAAUCAGAGCUGCAGCUUCUGGCCUACACCAGAACAGCAACACGGGAUCCAAGCCACAUCUGUGAACUGCACCACGGCUCACGGCAACACUGAAUCCUUAGGCCACUGAGCAAGGCCAGGGACCGAACCUGCAUCCUCAUGCAUGUUAGCUGGGUUCCUAACCUGCUGAGCCACAGUAGGAACGCCUCAAAAAUUUUGCCUAUAAAAACCUCCCUGAAACACAUCAAGGGGUUUGGGUGUUUUGAGUACAAGCCACCUGUUCUCCUUGCUUGGCCCCUGUGAUUAACCUUUCUCUGCUCCCCGACACACUUCAGUUUGUCGGGCCUCACGGGGCAUCGGACACGUGCACUUGGGUUUGCCAACACUCUGGUGCUGCUGUGUUUGAAAGUCAGAGAAAGAGGUGUCGCCAUGAGAGGUGGUGGCCCAAAGGGAAACAUCCAAAGAGUAGGAUGCACAGCGGAUAUACUUCAAGGGAGAGAGAGUUUGAAGUGGGGUUAAGUGGCCACACUGCCCAUAUGCCAAAGAGAAGUUCUCUUGAAUUCUCUGAUGUCCUCUGUCCUGGGAGCAGUUGUGGAACAGCGUUUGAGAGAGAAGACAAAGGGUCAGGGCUGCCGCUUGCUUCUUUCUGGAAGUGCCUUCUGGAGAUGGGAGAGGUGACCUUCAAGCCAGCUCCCUACAGAAAACUGCCCGCUCUGCUGUGAAGCACUCAGACACAAAGUCCUUGGCUCAGAGCUUCCAGGGAGCGAAGCAGAUGGCAGCUCUGUCAACUGCAGCUGCAAACAGCUUCAUCUUCAGUUUAUUUCCAGGAGCCAGAGGAGCUCAGGGAUAGUUAACAGCUGUCUACCUGUAGGGACUCAAAUGAUCGCUAGGCCAUCAAACCAUCAUCUACCAAACAGUGACUUAGCAAUUUAUCCCAAGGCUUCCUGGAGGCCUGAAAGAACUAUCCAAAGGCCUACUUCGUGUGCCCACCAAAGGGAUUUUUCUAGUAGAAAAGGAAGAGAUAUACCUUUUAAUCAAGACCUUCUCCAAACAAAAAGACUCUAUAAAGCAUGACUGUUGGUUGCUCUCUCUGAAAAUAAAUGCAAAUGUUCUAUUUGGAGGUUUGUUUUUUAGCAACCUCCCAGGGAAAUAUUUGUCCUUGUUGCUGUUAUUGUUGUUGUUGAAAUCUAUAGCCUAAUCCGGGGUUAAAAUGGAGAAUAUUAACCACCAGCUAGAGUCAUUGCCAAGCCCAAGCCCUGCCAGGCUAUUGCGGUGGUUUUUUUAAAUAAAUGUUGGAAGGCAGACAACUAGUGAUGGUGAGUAGUUGACAUAAUGUACAUGGUAUCCACUGAUGUCCCUUCAGACCAGACAUGGUGUUAGGUCAUUAGAUAGAAAACCCAGAGACAGCUUCGCUCUGGAACUCAUGUUUGAGUGGGAAGGAUUCUGGCAGGAGCUGGACUGAAAGUCACCCCUCCCCAUGCCUUGAAGUCCUUUCCAAAGAGAAGUCCUGACUCUUGGUAAUCCAUCUUGGCUACUACCCUGAAACUGCUCCAAGGAUGGGAGUGGGGAGGGUUCAUUACAGAAUUCAAGGCAUUUCCUCCCAACUGUGUUUACUCUUGAACCCUCAUGCUCAGCAACGGCAGUCAACAUCUUUACCAGUAUUUAUUGAAAUCAAUACAUGUUACGUGCUAGCAGGAUGCCGAGUACAUGGCACACACCUGUCUCAGUUGUACUUUUCUAUAUCAAACCAUCCCAACACAUAGUGGCUCAAAACAGCAAUGUUUUAACACUUAUCAUUCCAUUGGUUGGCAGGGCUCAGCUGGCUGGUCCUUUUGCUUUACCUGGUUUCAGCUGGGUCACAUCAAAUUCAGUGAGGAGGUCAACUAGGGUCAGAAGGCCCGAGGUGGUGUCAUUCCCAUGUCUGGCACCUCAUCUGGGGUGACUGAAAUAGGUGUGGGCUGGCUGGGUCUCUCUCUCUCUCUCUCACUCAGGGUAGUUGCCCCUCUUAAACUGUGGCUCUGGGCUCUAAGAGAGCAAAGAGGAAUCUUCUAGUUCUCUUAAGAGCUAGGCUGCAAACUGGCCCUCUGUCUAUUGAUGAAAGUGCGUCAAGUUCAAGCACAAUCCAAAUUCAAGGAGAGAGGAAACAGACCCCACCUCUUCCAGGAGGAGAGACGUGGGAGCAGUUGCGGAUGUGGCCAUCUCUGGAGAAAACCUGUAAAGCCCUAUAUGUUGGUUAUAUAAGUGAAAAUCAUCCCGUUUCCACAUACUUUCCAGUGGCCUAAAUGCAGGAGAUGAUGGAUUUUCUCAGGGUGCAAACCACAUUUAUUUUUUAUUGUUUUUUAUAGUUGUGAUUUUUUUUUUUCUUUUGAUGGAUGCAUCUGCAGCAUUCGGAAGUUCCCAGGCAAGGGGUGGAAUCAGAGCCUCGGCCGAGGCCUACACCACAGCUAUAGCAACACUGGACCCUAGCUGCAUCUGUGACCUAUGCUGGAUCCUUACCUCACUGACUGAGGCCAGGGAUCGAACCCACAACCUCAAGGACACUGUGUAGGCUCCUGCUGAGUCACAACAGGAACUCCCCAUCACUUCAAUUUUAAAACAAAGUUAAUAACACUCAAAAUCUCAAAUCGUCAUCAGCCGAAGGAGAACAACCAUAAUAAUCCCUUCUUUGGGGACUUUUUUUGAGGAGGAGGGAGCUAAGACUUACACAGUACUUAAAAAUUCCUUGGCACAAACUGAGACCUAAUGACAUUAGCCUCUCUGUUUCCAUCCCUCCCUUCACCAACCCGGCAUCAUCCAGGCAAUUUUAUCCUGAGCCAAAUCCCCUGGGUCCUCAGGCGCGUGAGUGGAGGAGCCGAGGGGAGCCCUGGCAGACCCGGGGCUUUGGAGCCCUGAGACAGCUGGAAAGGCAAAACAAAUCCAGAUUGCUGCUGUACAGAACAACAGUCCUCCGGAGGGCAAGUGGGUGCAGUUUUUGUUUUUUGCCUUUUAGGGCUGCACCUGCAGCAUAUGGAAGUUCCCAAGCUAGGGGUCCAAUUGGAGCUUUAGCCCCCCACCUCUGCCACAGUCACAGCAAUGCAGGAUCCAAAGUAUCUGCGACCUGCACCACAGCUCAUGGCAACACUGGAUCCUUAACCCACCGAGCAAGGCCAGGGAUCAAACCCGAGUCCUCAUGGAUACUAGUUGGGUUUCCUACCACUGAGCCAUGACAGGACCUCCAAGUGGGUAUGUUUUUGAAAUCAAUAUUUUACUCCUGGAAACUCUGAAGUAAAGCCCCUUUUCCUCCACCUGUGACAAUUUUUACAGAAGAUUUUACGCAUCUUUUUCCUCUAACUAAACAAAAAUUCCAUUGCCAGCAGUGUUGGAUGUGAACCUUGCCCACUUUGAAAAUUCUUGACGUAUGUUUUUAACAAUAAAACUUUAAAA
This 5729-nucleotide long non-coding RNA is filed under the name Sus scrofa (pig). Its description in RNAcentral is "lncRNA (ENSSSCG00030034925.1)". Lineage: Eukaryota; Metazoa; Chordata; Mammalia; Artiodactyla; Suidae. The record is from RNAcentral.